This is a long non-coding RNA of Hippocampus zosterae (dwarf seahorse), 830 nucleotides long. RefSeq lists it as uncharacterized. The transcript is spliced from 2 exons. NCBI's taxonomy places the organism in Eukaryota, Metazoa, Chordata, Actinopteri, Syngnathiformes, Syngnathidae. The record is from RefSeq and is a predicted model, not a curated record.
AAAAAUGUGAGUAAUGCGACUGAACUGGCCUCUAAACUCCAAACACAUUCCAUUGGAUUUAGGCGCCGAGAGGGCGACGACUGGAUGGAGGCAAAGCAGCCAACUUUCCCGAAAUCAAGGAACGACGGCGACGUUCACGCCAAUUGCCACCGCGUCUCGAAUGUCAACAAGCUGAGCAACAUGACAACCUGAUUCGCCCUUUCCGAACCCCCACAGCGCCGUGCCGCUUACCUGCGGAAGAAUUAGCAGUUCAUGUCAGCCAAGCGGCUCCCGUGCAAGAUAUGCAACACAUAACAAGACAUGUUUUUAUCCGGACGAGCCCUUCGUACAAGCUUCAAGUUCCCCCCACGGUCUGAAGCCCAUUCCAUCUCCACCGGCUAUUAUUGGAAAGCGCGCCCUCGUGCGGUGAAAAAGGGUGAAGCCCGCAACAGGUGGACGGAUGGUUGGCAGGUUUGGAUGCUGACUUCAAGAGACAACUGAAAGUCACAGAAACAAACCAAUUGGCAGAGCAGUAUAUUUGUGGAAAACAAAAGACUAUAUAUAGAUAGAUAGAUCAGUCGCAGGGCACAUAUAGAGACAAACAACUAUUCACUCCCACAUCUACACUGUCACCAAGUGAGAACCAAUCCCACGCUGCCCGCACACGUUUCAGGCAAGUGUACCACUACACCAUCAGGGACUAGGCUUAUUGCCAUUUGGUUCAUUUAAUAAUGUAUGUUUCAAUACAUGAGCUCAUUCAGAAAGUGGCUGGCUUUUACCAAAGGUGAGUUGACCUGAGUUGUUUCACUCGUCUGGGCGUAAAUACCAUCAAAUAAAAGCUGGAAUUCUGA